This 431-nucleotide ribosomal RNA is filed under the name uncultured bacterium. Its description in RNAcentral is "bacterial SSU rRNA". It matches the Rfam family "Bacterial small subunit ribosomal RNA", at positions 355 to 777 of the family's 1533-position model. The record is from RNAcentral.
UGGGGAAUAUUGGACAAUGGGCGGAAGCCUGAUCCAGCAAUACCGCGUGUGUGAAGAAGGCCUUCGGGUUGUAAAGCACUUUUGUCAGGGAGAAUGGUAGUAGAGGUUAAUACCCUUUGCUAUUGAUGUUACCUGAAGAAUAAGCACCGGCUAACUCCGUGCCAGCAGCCGCGGUAAUACGGGGGGUGCAAGCGUUAAUCGGAAUUACUGGGCGUAAAGGGCGCGUAGGUGGUUACUUAAGUCAGAUGUGAAAGCCCCGGGCUCAACCUGGGAAUUGCAUUUGAUACUGGGUAACUAGAGUGUGGUAGAGAGUAGCGGAAUUUCUGGUGUAGCGGUGAAAUGCGUAGAUAUCAGAAGGAACACCAAUGGCGAAGGCAGCUACUUGGGCCAACACUGACGCUGAGGCGCGAAAGCAUGGGGAGCAAACAGGA